AGCAGCCGCGGUAAUUCCAGCUCCAAUAGCGUAUAUUAAAGUUGUUGCAGUUAAAAAGCUCGUAGUUGAACUUCGGGGUUUACCCAUUGGUCAGGCUUAAUUGUCUGUACUGGUGAGAUAAAUCUCUACCUUCUGAGGAACUUUCAUGUCAUUAAUUUGGUGUGAUUGGAAAUCAGGACUGUUACUUUGAAAAAAUUAGAGUGUUUAAAGCAGGCUAACGUCUGAAUACAUUAGCAUGGAAUAAUGAAAUAGGACGGACUGAUUCUAUUUCGUUGGUUUCUAGGAUCACCGUAAUGAUUAAUAGGGAUAGUUGGGGGCAUUAGUAUUCAAUUGUCAGAGGUGAAAUUCUUGGAUUUAUUGAAGACUAACUACUGCGAAAGCAUUUGCCAAGGAUGUUUUCAUUAAUCAAGAACGAAAGUUAGGGGAUCGAAGACGAUCAGAUACCGUCGUAGUCUUAACCAUAAACUAUGCCGACUAGGGAUCGGACGAAGUUAAUUUUAUAAUGACGCGUUCGGCACCUUACGG
This 525-nucleotide ribosomal RNA is filed under the name uncultured Diversisporaceae. RNAcentral describes it as "SSU rRNA". It matches the Rfam family "Eukaryotic small subunit ribosomal RNA", at positions 569 to 1093 of the family's 1831-position model. Lineage: Eukaryota; Fungi; Glomeromycota; Glomeromycetes; Diversisporales. The record is from RNAcentral.